This is a long non-coding RNA of Oryza sativa Japonica Group (Japanese rice), 588 nucleotides long. RefSeq lists it as uncharacterized. Lineage: Eukaryota; Viridiplantae; Streptophyta; Magnoliopsida; Poales; Poaceae. The record is from RefSeq and is a predicted model, not a curated record.
UUGCGGCCGGGAGGUUGCCACCCCGUUCCUAGCGUUGCGUGCGGUGACUUCUCGUGGCUUGCAUCGUCUGGAUCUGCUGUCGCCCGGAGCUUGCUGCUCGUGGUGCAUGAUGAUAGCCCGUCGACGAGGUGGCGGUUCGAGAGCUUCCAAUGCCAAGGUUCCAUCCGUCAAGAUUCACAGGAUUUCUCUUCCCCAUCCCCUCUUCGUAGAGGCAACCGGAUGGGGAUUGCCGGUUUGUCGAGCGUGCUGCACGCCGAAGGAGGCCCAAGGUUGCAUUCGUCACGGCAUUAUCGCAGCUCCCUGUCGAUGUGCAACUUCUCUGUUGUGUGGUUUCAAUAUGAAGAUUGUAGCCCUAGUGCAGUUUUCCGUUCAUUGGAAACAGAUGGUUUUAUGCUCUCUUUAUCUGUUUGGCAAUGUACUGGGAUUUAUUCCAGUGAACUCUGUCGUUUUAUAUUAAUGGAGGUUUAAGUUUAAAAAAAAAACAACCCAGCCGACUGCAUAUGCACGCCUGUAUUGUAACGAUUUAAUUUUUUUCCUUUCUUCCUUUCUUUCUAUGCACCUUGCAACAUACUAAGAGCAAGCUAACAG